AUUCAGCUGACAAGUCCCAAAUAGGAUGAAACGCAUGUCGUGGAU
This 45-nucleotide non-coding RNA is filed under the name Schistosoma curassoni. The record is from RNAcentral. Lineage: Eukaryota; Metazoa; Platyhelminthes; Trematoda; Strigeidida; Schistosomatidae.